AAAUGCACCCUCAACCCUUACUACAAUGAGUCGUUCUCAUUUGAAGUCCCAUUUGAACAAAUACAAAAAAUACAACUGGUUGUCACUGUCGUGGAUUACGAUCGUAUUGGAACAUCUGAGGCUAUUGGACGUUGUGUAUUGGGUUAUAAUGCAACUGGUACAGAGCUACGACAUUGGUCAGAUAUGCUGGCUUCGCCGCGAAGACCAAUUGCUCAGUGGCAUACAUUAAAAGAAGUAGAAGAAACAGAACACUUAAUCACUGGAAAAUAAGGAAAUUAAACAAGCUCAAAACAAAAUAAUUUCAAACGGCUUCAAUAAAAUUUCAAGCACUUUUCUUGAUCAGUACUACAAUUAAUUGGCGACCAAUUCUUAAAAAAUAAUUUUCCGCAUCCCCACAAUAUUACGUAAGCUAACAUAAGUAGCAGAAAUAAUAGCAGAUACUGAAUGAAAAAUCAACUUCCUCUGAAAAUAAAGAAAACACUAUAAUUGAUUUCGCAUCAUAAUACGAUAAUGUUGUAACAAUAUGAAACAUACUUUAGGCAAACCAAAUUGACUACCUUAAGUGACUAUUAGAAGCAUGAAAUUAUUUACAUUCCCAUUUAAAUUAUAAAUGUGUUUCCACUUUAUAAUGUAUAGCUAUAUAUGUAUAUUGCCUAACUGAAUGUGUGUAUAUUAAAAUAUAUGCAGGCGUAUAGUUGAUAUGUGCUCUUAUGUAUAAGCUUGCAUAUUAUCCAUUCGCUUAUCAACAUAAUUUUAAAAAAUUAAUCUUAAAUCUUAUCGUAACAAAAAUCACAGUCUGCCAUAAAAGAUCAUAAUUUUUUUUAAGUAUAUUGAUACUGUAAUCGAUUUGUGCUUAUUCAUACAAGUGAAACAAAAUUCCAUAUACAAAUAUACUAUCAAUUUACUUUACUUGGUUAUACGAUUUUAUUACUGCUGCAACACAAGAAGAUCAUGAAUUUCAUCAGAUAAAUUUUCAUUAAGGAACUCUGCUGUGUAUUACAAUAUGAAAAAGAUGCAGUCAUGGCUAAUUAAUUAUAGUUUCACUAUUUAUUAUAAUUUUGUGACUUACCGUUUUUAAAUUUCACUAAUAUAAAACUUUAUAAGAGUUUUUCUAGAGCCUUAUUUUUUUCUUUUAAAAAAACAAUAUGCUAUACUAAAAGUUUUCUAUUCAAAAUUUUCUACUCAAAAUAAUUCACUCUUAAUACUAAUUGAAAUUUUGUUAAUUCUAUUUGCCCACAAGAAGUUUCAGAGAAGUAAAUAUUACUCAAAAAUUCGUCCGUUGCUAAAUGAUUUUUACUUUAUUAGCUUCUAAUAUUCUUUAAUUUUGUACUCAAGCCAUUUUUGUUUACAAAAUACCUAUAUUUCUAAAUAUUUAAAAAACUUUCAAUGAAUAAAUAUGUAUAUUAAUAACACAUACAUAAAUAUAUUUCACAUAAUUUAAAUAUGCAUAUACGUUCAAUAUGUAGCAAAAAUGCAUAUCCAUGACAAAAUAUGUGGAUAUAAAAAUAUUUACAUAUAAUAUUAAUAUCAUUAAUAUAAUUAGCCUACGAAUGAACUGUAAUUGAGAAUUUUCUUAAUGUAGUCUAUAAGUAACUAUAUAGCACGUUGUGGCUUCAUACCUAUUUUCAAAGUAGGAUACCAUGGCAUUAGCAUUUCUUGCUCUAAUCGUAUAGUAUGACCUCAUCUUUUCCGUGUAGCAAUAUAUAAGAGAUGCACAUUAAAAAAUUUUCAACACAAGCAUUCAUAAUUUAAAAAAAAAAUUAGAGCUACUUUCCUGAAAACAUAGCUCUUAGGACUUUAUAACAAUUCUCUACCUGUGACGAAAAAAGCAAGAAAAAAUAAUUUUUAGUAUCUAUAACUUAAAGUGAAAAUGUUGAAAAGUUCUGCUUAGUCUGAACCGACCACGAUUUCAUCGCCGAUGAACUAUUGAGCUCCGGACGUUCAUAUGUAAAUUAAUAGCUACACAAAUAAAUAGUAUAACGAAAUAACACUAAUAAUGUCAAAAUGUAUUUUUAGAAAAGUAACGUAAAAAUCAAAAACACUAUUUAUGUGUACCUAUAUAUUUAUGUGUACAAAAAUGUGUACCUAUAUAUAUUUCCAUUAAAAUAAGUUAUUUAUGUGAAUGAGAUAUCUUUUCAACAAACUUUCGAUUAAUGAAAUUUAUUAAUUUCUGGACCCAGAUGUAAUUAAUUGUUAAAGCAAAAAAUUAUGUAAUAAAGAAUAAAAAUUAAUCAAUCAAUAUAUUAAAUAAAAUAAUUUAUAAUUUAAAUAAUUUUGAUGUAAAAUAGGUAUCACCAAAUAUAAGUUAUUUCUCAAUUAAAAUCAGAAUAAAAUUCAAAUGUGAAAAUAAAAGUGUUGCCAAUAUUAUAUUAUUUUUGCUCUCCUGACAUAAUUAUAGGCUUAUUUGCACAUUAUUUGCACAUACAUAUAUGCAUACAUAUACAUAUAUUUCAAUAUAUACAAAUACAUAUAUGUGUGUGUAUAUAACAUUUGCGUAGACUAAAUAAGCAAUAUAUAUAUUCAUGAACAAACACACAUAUAAACGCAUAUACAUAUGUAGAUAAUAACGGUUAUUACUUGUUACAUAAAUAAACUGUACAUUAAUUAUAUUCUUUAAAUAUAAACAUUAUUUUAUUACAAAAAGUUAUUAUAAAACUUUGUUCACAUUCAAGCCCAAAAAAUACUAUAUACUGUUAAAAAAUUUUUAAAAUUUAAUCUAACGUAGUCUAAUAAAAAUAAUAAUAAUAUAAAAAUAUUAUAAAGUAAUAAAAUUGUUUAUUAAAUAUAACUUACUAAUGAUUAAUACAAACUUAUGUGAUUUUUAAUAAUUUUUUAAUAAAAAUAUUCAAUUUAGGAUGUUACAAUUGAUUGUAUAUAUUAAAAAAAUUCAGUUAUAAGCCUACAAUAUUUUUUAAUUUGUGUUUUUAUAAGUUCUUGUAACAACUGUAAUACAAAUUCAAAAAUAAUUAGCAUUUAACUCUUACAAAGUGCAAUAUAUAUAUAACAUAUACACAAGUCCAGUACAAGUUCUGAACCUUUCUGAAAAAUAUUAGUAUUGAAUUUGAAGUAUGAAAUGACUCAAGCGACAUUUAUUAAAUUAAAUAUAUUAAUAAAAUUAUAAAUUAUAAAACCAAAGAAAUUUACAAAAUAAGAUUUAUUAUUUUCCGAAUAUUUUUCAAAAACACUUUUUGAAAACGAAGAAACUUUCCUUAGUUCGAAAAAUAUAAUUUUCGUUUGAAAAAUGCAAAUCAAUCUGGGUAUAAUCGGAAAGUAAUGAAAAAUGUUCAUCGAUGCAGCGUCGAUGCAAACAAAAGGUAUUAUUUUGACUUUUUUUGGACAUUUUCUAAGUGUUGUGUUUUUUAGUGUUUUAAUGAAUGAUUAUGUUUUCAAAACCUAUUUAAAAAUUGUUUUGGAGAUUUUAAUAUAAUAAGUCAUCUGAAAAUAUUAAUAUGAUCCAAUUUUCACUCUUCUAAGGUAAUUUAUUACUAGAAAUUCAUAAAAGGAAAUUCAUUACUAAAAAUUAGUAUCAUCAAAAAAUUAUUAAUUUUAUUAGUUAUAUAAUAGAAAACAAUAAAGUUAUAUAAUUAUUAACUUUAUUUAAAAUAAAAUUUUGCAUCAAUAUAGAGAAUAACAAAAAAAUUGAUGCACAACUGGUUUAAUAUAAUACGCAUAUACGAUGUGUUUUAUUGACAUUUUCGAAUAUCAAAUUUUAUAAGUGUUACCGAAUCGAUACAGUUUCGUACAUGCUUUUAAGAUGAUUCUCAAUCUCGGAUUGAUUACAUACUUUCCGAUUCUACCCUUUAUCAAAGCCAAUUUUAAUCUAUAUUUUCAUUAUACUUGACAUUUAUUACAAAUGAUUAUAUUUAUAUUUAUAACAACCAAAACCAAACAUUACAACCACAAUUUUAUUAUAUCUUAGGGACAAUACUUAAUUUUGACAGCCGAAUGCUACAUAUCGCCUCGAUUUAAGUAUAGUAUAAAAAAGAACAAAAAAAUAUAGUGUCAAUAAUUAUAAUUUAAUUUUUUAUAUUCCAAAAUUGACAAACUCUAUAAGACACAACUAGUUAGUACUAUAUCGUUUUGAAUGUAUAAUUAUAACACAACCUAACAAAUUGUGUUCAAAAUGACUUUAAAUUAUUACAUAAUAUAUUUUAAUGAUAUAUAUUUUGUUAGUUUGUUUUUUUUAUUUCUAUUCUUUAUUUUUACAAUUAUGAUUGUAAAAGUAAAGAAUACGAAUAAGAGAAUUACUACUAAUGCAAUACCAAUUAUGAUUGUAUGAAAAGAAUAUUUUUUAUCUUUUUAUUUAAAAUAUUUUAUAUAAAACUAGUAUUAAUAUAUUGAUAUAUUAAUUUCAUUAUUAUAUUAAUAUUAAUUUCAUUAUUAAUUUAUAUCAUAUGUAUUUACAUACAUAAAAUUUAAUUGAUGGUAAAAAUGUAGUAAACUACUAAAACGAAUGGAUAUUUAUUUAUAAUACCAUUUGCACAUAUAUAAUUGAAUAUUUCAAUCUUAAUUGUAUAUAAAAAUUUUACAGGCAUAGAUAAAAUUAAAAUAAAAAAUAAAUUAUUAAAAAUUACAUAAAACAAUAAAAUUUCACAUAAGAAACUUAUCAUAUUGAAAAUUUUAAUUUAAAAAAUCAACAAUGAAGUCCAUGUAAAUUUCCUUCAAUCACCUUUGUGAUUAAAAUGAUUUUCGAUUUUUUUAUCCGCGUAGUUAUUAAAUUAAAAUUUCGUUACAGCAUAUUAAUAGUAUAUAGUAUGAAUAAAGUUUAAGUUUUUGAUUCCAUUAAAAGUAAAUAAGAAAACAAUUGAUUUCGUUACGAAAAUGUCUUACAUAUACAUACAUUAUAUACUACAUAUAUAUACUACAAAAUAAUAAUUUCAAGUUAGUUAUUUUUGAAGUUAAGCUAUAUAGAGCAAAAGUAACAUAAAAUUUUAAAUAUAGUUCUAAACGAAUUCGUAAUUUAUAUGUAAUAAUAAUGUAAUAAUAAAUAAUGAUAAUGAUGUUUCUUAUAUACGCAUGCAUUGUUUCUUUAUAUAAUUAAAUUGUAUAUUAUAAAACUUACAAGAAUAUUAAAAUCGUUAAAAGAACAAAACAAAAACUUAGGAAAUUUUAUUAAAUAAAACUAGUUUAAAAUUACAAAAUGUAACGAGAUAAAAAAUAUUCAAUAUAAAAAAAUAAAAAUAAUAAAUAUAUAAAAACUGUAAUUGCAAUGUAAUAUAAAAAUAUUUAAUUUAUUGAUUAAUAAAACCUUAUAGAUGAAAUGUGAAAUUCUUUUUGAAAAAUGUGUUUAAGUUUAUUAAAAAAAUUAAAAUAAGUAUUAAACUCUACCAUAAGCAUAACAAAUUAUACAUAAAAAUAAAUGUAAAAACAAAGAUAACAUUUACAUUGAUAUGUGUAAAUAUAUAUUUAAAUAUAUAUGAAUAUUUUAGAUAUAUGAGUUAUACAUACACACGUAUAAACGUACACAUAGUUAUAUAUG
This is a long non-coding RNA of Condylostylus longicornis, 5479 nucleotides long. RefSeq lists it as uncharacterized. Lineage: Eukaryota; Metazoa; Arthropoda; Insecta; Diptera; Dolichopodidae. The record is from RefSeq and is a predicted model, not a curated record. The transcript is spliced from 4 exons.